Molecule: ribosomal RNA, 347 nt
Filed under: uncultured bacterium
Lineage: Bacteria
Description: bacterial SSU rRNA
Rfam family: Bacterial small subunit ribosomal RNA
Source: RNAcentral
AGAGUUUGAUCAUGGCUCAGAUUGAACGCUGGCGGCAUGCUUUACACAUGCAAGUCGAACGGCAGCACGGGGAGCUUGCUCCCGGGUGGCGAGUGGCGCACGGGUGAGUAAUACAUCGGAACGUGUCCUGUUGUGGGGGAUAACUGCCCGAAAGGGUGGCUAAUACCGCAUGAGACCUGAGGGUGAAAGCGGGGGAUCACAAGACCUCGCGCAAUUGGAGCGGCCGAUGCCCGAUUAGCUAGUUGGUGAGGUAAAGGCUCACCAAGGCGACGAUCGGUAGCUGGUCUGAGAGGACGACCAGCCACACUGGGACUGAGACACGGCCCAGACUCCUACGGGAGGCAGCA